This 501-nucleotide ribosomal RNA is filed under the name uncultured bacterium. RNAcentral describes it as "partial 16S ribosomal RNA". It matches the Rfam family "Bacterial small subunit ribosomal RNA", at positions 29 to 523 of the family's 1533-position model. The record is from RNAcentral.
AUUGAACGCUGGCGGCAUGCCUUACACAUGCAAGUCGAACGGCAGCACGGGUGCUUGCACCUGGUGGCGAGUGGCGAACGGGUGAGUAAUACAUCGGAACGUACCUUAUCGUGGGGGAUAACGCAGCGAAAGCUGUGCUAAUACCGCAUACGCCCUGAGGGGGAAAGCGGGGGAUCGCAAGACCUCGCGCGAUUAGAGCGGCCGAUGCCUGGUUAGCUAGCUGGUGGGGUAAAAGCCCACGAAGGCGACGAUCAGUAGCUGGUCUGAGAGGACAAUCAGCCACACUGGGACUGAGACACGGCCCAGACUCCUACGGGAGGCAGCAGUGGGGAAUUUUGGACAAUGGGGGCAACCCUGAUCCAGCAAUGCCGCGUGAGUGAAGAAGGCCUUCGGGUUGUAAAGCUCUUUUGUCAGGGAAGAAACACCGGCUCUAACACAGUUCGGGAAUGACGGUACCUGAAGAAUAAGCACCGGCUAACUACGUGCCAGCCGCCGCGGUAA